This 253-nucleotide ribosomal RNA is filed under the name uncultured bacterium. RNAcentral's name for it is "partial 16S ribosomal RNA". It matches the Rfam family "Bacterial small subunit ribosomal RNA", at positions 524 to 776 of the family's 1533-position model. The record is from RNAcentral.
UACGUAGGAUGCAAGCGUCGUCCGGAUUUACUGGGCGUAAAGCGCGCGCAGGCGGCAUACCAAGUAUUCAGUGAAAUCUCCCUGCUCAACGGGGAGGGUGCUGAGUAGACUGGUAAGCUAGAGGACGGUAGAGGGGGGUAGAAUUGCUGGUGUAGCGGUGAAAUGCGUAGAUAUCAGGAGGAACACCGGUGGCGAAGGCGGCUACCUGGACAGAAACUGACGCUGAGGCGCGAAAGCUAGGGGAGCAAACAGG